Molecule: transfer RNA, 71 nt
Filed under: Ogmocotyle sp. JM-2015
Lineage: Eukaryota; Metazoa; Platyhelminthes; Trematoda; Plagiorchiida; Notocotylidae
Description: tRNA-Cys
Source: RNAcentral
GUGUAAUAAUUAGGUUUAUGGUAGAUUUUGCAAAGAUUUACAGGAUUCAUUUGUAAUCCACACCCUAAGUU